RNAcentral lists this ribosomal RNA (465 nucleotides) under Vreelandella stevensii. RNAcentral's name for it is "partial 16S ribosomal RNA". It matches the Rfam family "Bacterial small subunit ribosomal RNA", at positions 338 to 795 of the family's 1533-position model. Lineage: Bacteria; Pseudomonadati; Pseudomonadota; Gammaproteobacteria; Oceanospirillales; Halomonadaceae. The record is from RNAcentral.
CCUACGGGAGGCAGCAGUGGGGAAUAUUGGACAAUGGGCGAAAGCCUGAUCCAGCCAUGCCGCGUGUGUGAAGAAGGCCUUCGGGUUGUAAAGCACUUUCAGUGGGGAAGAAAGCCUUGGGGCUAAUACCCUCGAGGAAGGACAUCACCCACAGAAGAAGCACCGGCUAACUCCGUGCCAGCAGCCGCGGUAAUACGGAGGGUGCGAGCGUUAAUCGGAAUUACUGGGCGUAAAGCGCGCGUAGGCGGUUUGAUAAGCCGGUUGUGAAAGCCCCGGGCUCAACCUGGGAACGGCAUCCGGAACUGUCAGGCUAGAGUGCAGGAGAGGAAGGUAGAAUUCCCGGUGUAGCGGUGAAAUGCGUAGAGAUCGGGAGGAAUACCAGUGGCGAAGGCGGCCUUCUGGACUGACACUGACGCUGAGGUGCGAAAGCGUGGGUAGCAAACAGGAUUAGAUACCCUUGUAGUC